Molecule: unclassified non-coding RNA, 624 nt
Filed under: Hevea brasiliensis (rubber tree)
Lineage: Eukaryota; Viridiplantae; Streptophyta; Magnoliopsida; Malpighiales; Euphorbiaceae
Source: RNAcentral
AGCAGACCAAAGCAAUGAGCGAAGCUUUAAACAGAGACUACCUAAUCUGUGACGAGAUCGGCCGUGGACGUUUCGGCACCGUUUUCAGAUGUACCUGUCGUGCUACUGGUAACUCUUUCGCCGUCAAGUCUAUCGAUAAGAGCCUUACAUCCGGUGACUCCCUCGACGCCCAAUGCCUCCUCUCCGAACCAAAGAUUCUCCACCUUCUCUCGCCUCAUCCUCACGUAAUCCAACUCUACAACCUCUAUGAAGACGAAUCGUACCUUCACAUGGUAAUGGACUUGUGCUCCGGUCAGGAUCUUCACAAUUUAAUCAUCUCUAAUGGCGUUGUUCCCGAGGCGGAGGCCAGACUGCUCUUUAUACAGCUGAUGAAAGCCGUUUCCCACUGCCACAAGUACGGCGUCGUUCACCGCGACAUCAAGCCGGAUAACAUUUUGCUCGACUCUUUAAAUUCGGUGAAGUUAGCAGAUUUUGGUUCCGCUGAGGUGGUUAUGGAAGGGGAGAUGAUUAAUGGUGUUGUAGGGACGCCGUACUACGUGGCGCCGGAGGUUUUGGUGGGGAGAGAGUACGGGGAGAAGGUAGAUAUUUGGAGUGCUGGUGUGGUGUUGUAUAUUAUGUUAGCCG